RNAcentral lists this ribosomal RNA (544 nucleotides) under uncultured bacterium. Its description in RNAcentral is "bacterial SSU rRNA". It matches the Rfam family "Bacterial small subunit ribosomal RNA", at positions 358 to 917 of the family's 1533-position model. The record is from RNAcentral.
GGGAUUUGGCAUGGGCGAAGCCUGNCCAGCAACGCCGCGUGAGGGAUGACGGCCUUCGGGUUGUAAACCUCUUUCAGCAGGGACGAAGCGCAAGUGACGGUACCUGCAGAAGAAGCACCGGCCAACUACGUGCCAGCAGCCGCGGUAAUACGUAGGGUGCGAGCGUUGUCCGGAAUUAUUGGGCGUAAAGGGCUCGUAGGCGGUUUGUCGCGUCGGGAGUGAAAACUCAGGGCUUAACCCUGAGCCUGCUUCCGAUACGGGCAGACUAGAGGUAUGCAGGGGAGAACGGAAUUCCUGGUGUAGCGGUGAAAUGCGCGGAUAUCAGGAGGAACACCGGUGGCGAAGGCGGUUCUCUGGGCAUUACCUGACGCUGAGGAGCGAAAGUGUGGGGAGCGAACAGGAUUAGAUACCCUGGUAGUCCACACCGUAAACGUUGGGCGCUAGGUGUGGGACUCAUUCCACGAGUUCCGUGCCGCAGCUAACGCAUUAAGCGCCCCGCCUGGGGAGUACGGCCNCAAGGCUGAAACUCAAAAAAAUUGACGGA